AUGGCGCUACCGACUCCGAUGAGAUCUCCUAUUUCCAACAUAUGCAGCCGCCUUGCUGUUCUGGCCCCAUGUGCGGCCCCGUGGCUAACCCUAGCCACCUCUAUCUCCGACGAUGACGCCUCCUCUUCCUCUUGCAGUCCCGUCCUCGUCCUUGCUGGUGCUCCACACGUAUAUCCGAUGGUGACGGCGACCGACGGGUUGUGGGCCUACCAGAGGGCACGGCAGGAGACAGCGCAAGGCCGCUCGCAGCAGGGCGCGUGGGUGCGUGCGGGUGGUAGCCGGCGAGGACAUGUUGAUGUUCAUCCGGGGCACACGGUGAGUAUUCUCUGUUUAUGUGAAUAG
RNAcentral lists this ribosomal RNA (342 nucleotides) under Triticum aestivum (bread wheat). RNAcentral's name for it is "partial small subunit ribosomal RNA". The record is from RNAcentral. Lineage: Eukaryota; Viridiplantae; Streptophyta; Magnoliopsida; Poales; Poaceae.